AGAGUUUGAUCCUGGCUCAGGACGAACGCUGGCGGCGUGCUUAACACAUGCAAGUCGAACGGACGAUGAGGGGCUUGCUCCUCAAAGUUAGUGGCGAACGGGUGAGUAAUACGCAGAUAACCAACCCCCUGGAUUGGGACAACAAGUCGAAAGAUUUGCUAAUACCAAGUGGAGUGGCAGGGUCGCAUGACCUUGUUAUAAAAGGCAACCUCUUAAUAAUGUUGCCGCCAGAGGCUGGGUCUGCGGCUGAUUAGGCAGUUGGCGAGGUAAAAGCUCACCAAACCGACGAUCAGUAGCCGGUCUGAGAGGAUGAACGGCCACAAUGGGACUGAGAUACGGCCCAUACUCCUACGGGAGGCAGCAGUGGGGAAUAUUCCGCAAUGGGCGAAAGCCUGACGGAGCGACGCCGCGUGAGUGAAGAAGGUCUUCGGAUCGUAAAGCUCUGUUGACUGAGACGAAUUGUCCUUAGGGGGAGUUGACGGUAUCAGUCGAGGAAGCCACGGCUAACUACGUGCCAGCAGCCGCGGUAAUACGUAGGUGGCAAGCGUUGUCCGGAAUUAUUGGGCGUAAAGGGAGCGCAGGCGGUUUGUCAAGUUGUACUUAAAAGUGCAGGGCUCAGCUCUGUGAGGGGUACAAAACUGUCAGACUUGAGAUGAGGAGAGGCAAGCGGAAUUCCGUGUGUAGCGGUGAAAUGCGUAGAUAUACGGAGGAACNCCAGUGGCGAAGGCGGCUUGCUGGACUUAUUCUGACGCUGAGGCUCGAAAGCCAGGGUAGCGAACGGGAUUAGAUACCCCGGUAGUCCUGGCUGUAAACGAUGAGUGCUAGGUGUGGGUGGUAUCGACUCCAUCCGUGCCGGAGUUAACGCAAUAAGCACUCCGCCUGGGGAGUACGGCCGCAAGGUUGAAACUCAAAGGAAUUGACGGGGGCCCGCACAAGCGGUGGAGUAUGUGGUUUAAUUCGACGCAACGCGAAGAACCUUACCAAGCCUUGACAUUGACCGAAAAGCUAUGAAAGUAGCUCCUUUCUUCGGAAACGGGAAAACAGGUGGUGCAUGGCUGUCGUCAGCUCGUGUCGUGAGAUGUUGGCUUAAGUGCCGCAACGAGCGCAACCCCUGCCUUUUGUUGCCAGCACGUAAAGGUGGGAACUCAAAAGGGACUGCCGGGGACAACCCGGAGGAAGGUGGGGAUGACGUCAAGUCAUCAUGCCCCUUAUGGCUUGGGCUACACACGUACUACAAUGGCUGGUCACAGACUGAAGCAAAAUCGAGAGAUGGAGCGAAACGGAGAAAACCAGUCUCAGUUCGGAUUGUACUCUGCAACCCGAGUACAUGAAGUCGGAAUCGCUAGUAAUCGCAGGUCAGCAUACUGCGGUGAAUACGUUCCCGGGCCUUGUACACACCGCCCGUCACACCACGGAAGUCGAUCACACCCGAAGUACCGCAAGGUCCUAAGGCGGGGUCGGUGACUGGGGUGAAGUCGUAACAAGGUAGCC
Molecule: ribosomal RNA, 1491 nt
Filed under: uncultured bacterium
Lineage: Bacteria
Description: bacterial SSU rRNA
Rfam family: Bacterial small subunit ribosomal RNA
Source: RNAcentral